RNAcentral lists this ribosomal RNA (253 nucleotides) under uncultured bacterium. RNAcentral's name for it is "partial 16S ribosomal RNA". It matches the Rfam family "Bacterial small subunit ribosomal RNA", at positions 524 to 776 of the family's 1533-position model. The record is from RNAcentral.
GACGGAGGGUGCUAGCGUUGUUCGGAAUUAUUGGGCGUAAAGGGCGCGUAGGCGGCCUGGCAAGUGGAAGGUGAAAUCCCUCGGCUUAACCGAGGAACUGCCCUCUAAACUGCCUGGCUUGAGACCGGGAGAGGUGAGUGGAAUUCCCAGUGUAGCGGUGAAAUGCGUAGAUAUUGGGAGGAACACCAGUGGCGAAGGCGGCUCACUGGACCGGUACUGACGCUGAGGCGCGAAAGCGUGGGGAGCAAACGGG